GACUCCUACGGGAGGCAGCAGUGAGGAAUAUUGGACAAUGGGCGCAAGCCUGAUCCAGCCAUGCCGCGUGCAGGAAGACGGUCCUAUGGAUUGUAAACUGCUUUUGUACAGGAAGAAACACUCCCUCGUGAGGGAGCUUGACGGUACUGUAAGAAUAAGGAUCGGCUAACUCCGUG
Molecule: ribosomal RNA, 176 nt
Filed under: uncultured freshwater bacterium
Lineage: Bacteria
Description: partial 16S ribosomal RNA
Rfam family: Bacterial small subunit ribosomal RNA
Source: RNAcentral